Molecule: long non-coding RNA, 9606 nt
Filed under: Homo sapiens (human)
Lineage: Eukaryota; Metazoa; Chordata; Mammalia; Primates; Hominidae
Description: non-protein coding lnc-CLIC4-2:8
Source: RNAcentral
AGAGACGCCAUUGCCACUGACACUGUGGCACCCAAACCCCCGUCUACUGCAGGCUGGCAGAGCCCUCCACAGACCCCGGAGCCCAAACAGCCUUUGUGGUGCAGCCAAGGGAUGGAAAAACUGAGCCCAGAGUGGGGCCAGGACAUACCCAACAUCAUAGCGCAGAUGAAGACACAGCCAGGACCAGAACUCAAAUCUCCUACACCAGUGGGCUUCCCCCCUGAGCCUGAACAUGGAGUCACCACUGGCUCAGUGAUUACUGAGUGGAAAGGGAUUCGAGACGGCAGAGCACUGUGCAGAGAUAGCUGGGCAUGAGGGGAGAGAAUGCAAGCCUCAGCUGGGAAUCGGGACUCUUGGAUUCUCAUCUUCUCAGAUUGACUUAAUUCACCACUUCAGAGAGGUACUCCUUGGGAUCAUAAAUGAACUACCUGCAACUCACAUCCUAGUGUGAGUUGCAGGGUCUGCUUUCAGAUCAGCCCAAACUCAGGUAUGAACACAUCGCAUGUCAUCUCAUCUCACCUUCACAACACCCCUGGGAGGUGGGCCUGCUGCCCCACUCUACAGAAACAAAUGCUCAGAAAGCUUAAGGUCAUUGUCAAGAAUAUGGCAGAUCUGGAAUUUCUCCCCAGGACUGUCUGUCUCCAGAGCCAACACUCAACUAUCACGUUAUGCAUCAUCCCACCUCACCCCCAGGGACCUCCCUCAUAAUGGAAGCAGCAGCAAAGACUUCAUAAUGAACAGCACCAGAUUCUAGAGGCACCUGCAUUCCUUGGCUUGUGGCCUCUUCCUCCAUCUCAAAGUGCAUCGCUCCAAUUUCUGCUUCUGUCAUCACAUCGCCUUUUCCUCCAGCUCCGACUCCUCCUGCAUCCAUCUGAAAAGGAUAAUCCAGGAUAUUCUCCCUAUCUCAAGAUCCUUCAUCACAUCUGCAAAGUCUCAGGUAUGGGUGGGGCUGAGGAUAUAAUCAGUUCUGGGCAAAAUUCCUCUGGAUGUGCAGAUUUGUGAAACUAGAAAACAAGCUUUCUGCUCCCAAAAUACAGUGGUGGGACAGCAUAAGACAACAGUUAUAGACAUUUCCAUUCAAAUAGGGAGAAAAUGGAAGGAAAAAAGGAGUCACCAGUCCCAAGCAAUUUCAAAAUCCAAUCAGACAAACUCCAUCAGGUUUCAAGGCCUGGGAAAAAUCCUCUGCCCUCUGUAUGCAAAACAGCAACAACAGCAGCAACUUUGGACCUUACCUCACACCAUCUAUAAAAAUGAACUCAAAUGAAUUAUAGUCCCCUAAAGAAGCAUUAUGCUAAGUGGAAAAGCCAGACACAAAAGCACACAUCAUAUAGGAUUCAGUACAUAUGAAAUUCUAGGAAAUACACAGCUAUCAUGACAGAAGGCAGAUCAGUGACGGCCAGUGGCCAGGUAGCAGGGGUGGAAACUGAUUGACAACAAAGGAGUGUGGGGUGGCUGUUGGGGGUGAUGGAAAUGUUCUCACAACUGUAUAUGUUUUCAAAACUCAUCCAACUAUAUACUAGAAAGGGUGACUCUUAUUAUAUGUAAACUAUACCCUAAUUUUUUUUUUCUGAGACAGAGUCUCGCUCUGUCGCCAAGCUGGAGUACAGUGGUGCGAUCUCACCUCACUGCAACCUCUGCCUCACUGCAACCUCUGCCUCCCGGAUUCAAGCGAUUCUCCUGCCUCAAGCUCCUGAGUAGCUGGGACUACAAGCGCGUACCACCACACCCAGCUAAUUUUUGUAUUUUUAGUAGAGACAGAAUUUCACCAUGUUGGCCAGGAUGGUCUCGAUCUAUUGACCUCGUGAUCUGCUUGCCUUGGCUUCCCCAAGUGCUGGGAUUACAGGCGUGAGCCACUGCGCCCUGCCCCCAAUUUUAAAAUAGUGUCUUGACUAUUCUUGGUAUAAGACAAAUAAAGAAGGGAAGGAAGAAAUGAAGGAAGGAAGAAGGAAGGAAGGAAGGGAGGAAGGAAGGAAGGAAGGAAGGAAGAAGGAAGGAAGGAAGGAAGAAGGAAGAAGGGAGGGGAAGGGAAGGGAUGGGGAGGGAAGGGAUGGGGAGGGAAGGAAGAAAUGAAGGAGGAAAGAGUCAACUUCAACAGGCUAGGGAGUGGGUGGCCUCCAUCAGCCAGGAGGGUCCUGUGACCCAGGCUUUAGGCUGCUGGACACCGCUGGACAGGCCUAUUGGAGUUUGGGUCCCUGGACCUCUGGGGAAGGCAUCUCCUGCCCCACCUUUCUGGGACAGAAAAGCAGUCAGAGCACACCUGGAUUUCCAUGUUAUCCCAGAAAGCAGUCAUGACCCCUUAGCAGGAUCUUCCCUCAUAGUGCUCGGUUUCUUCGUGAGAGCAGAGAUUUUAGUCUGUUCCAAACUAAGGGUAGGGAGCCUAUCCCAGUUCACGCAGCCCAUGCCUUUUGGCCCCAAAGCCCUGCUGCUGGACCAAGGCACCAACUGCCUGAUGUGGAGUCCCUGGGGGCUCAGCUCAGGCCUCCGCCGCAGGGACAGGCCUUGUGGGUACUAAUCCACAUGAGCCUUGAGUGGCUUCUGAUUCUCUCCAGUCAAGGAGCUGCCUCUGCCCCCCUCAAGGAUGGGCCUCUAAUGGGCCCUGGUUUCCCUGUAGAGUAGGCACAAAUAGCUCAGGCUCUGGAGCCAGAUGGCCCGGGUUCAAACCCUGGUUCUGCUGUUUGCCUUGUGGUAUGACCCAGGGCAGGGUAUUCAAUGCAUUCCUGUCUCCCCUCCUGUAAAGUGAGGCGAAUGGUACUACCUACCUCCAAGAACCAGGAGGAUUAGAUGAGCUCAUCUGGGAAAAGGUUAACGGUGGAGUGUGGGCCCAAUAAGUGUUGGCUAUUGUCAUCACUGACCACUGGCAAAGAGCCCCUGGCCUGCUUCCCCUUGGGUUUCCAAAGCCCAGCCCCCUGCCCACGACCACAAGGCUGAGCAGAGACAAACUGCUUUCUUGGAGGGCUGGGCCCGGCCCUGCCACCCAUUUCAGUGUCCCACCAUGCAGGGGUCCCUCAAUCAAUAGCCUGGCUGAUUGUGGCUUUGGGGUCUCAACCACCAGCCACAGGAGUCCAGCUGGUCCAGACCACAGGUCCACCCGGGGCUGGAGCUGGGAAUUGAGGAGGUGACAGCGGGUGGGGUGGGUGUGAGCUGUCACCUGCGUUACUUCUGUGGGUCCACAGGGGCCUGCACUCUGCUGACGCCAGCCCCGGGAGACAAAGGAGGGCCUGGGGUGGGGCCCGGGAGGUGCAGGGUAGUGGGCCAGUGACCAGUCUCAGCUGCACCCACGCCUUGCUGGUGAGCUUUGCCAAACCACUUUUCUCUGAGCCUCAUUUGCUCCUCUGUAAAAUGGAGGGGACGGGGGAAAUCCCCACCGCCUUUGCUUUGGACACGGUCUGGUAUUUCGGGCUGGGCCUGGUGCCUUGGUGCUUUACAUCAACUCGUUAACUCUCACUACAGCCCCUGAGGUGCAUGCUAUGAUUUUCCCCAUUUUAAAGAUGCAGAAACUGAGGCUUACAUGUUCCAAAAAGCUUUAUCUUUGGGGAGAUUAGGCCAGCUGUGAAGCUCGUGUCACAAAUGGGGACGCUGAGACUCAGGGAAGUGACCAGCCUGGCCUAGAGCUGGCCUCCUUCAGGGAGGCCAGGUCCCUGAAGGAGGCCAGGUUCCAGGUUUAGGAAGAAAUGCUUUCCUUCCCAGGCCCACCCCUCCCAGGCCCAUUUGCUCACCUGCAAGUUAAUGUGGGGGCUGUUUUUUUCCACUUUCUAUUUUUCAAGGCUGCUACCAAAGGGGCCACGCAGGACGUCCUCUGGGGAAUGCUGGCUCCCACACCACCCGCCUCGGCUCCUGGGCCAAGGUUUUGCCUUGAUCUGUCCAUCCCACUGCACAUGGCUUCAAGGAGGCAUUCAUGGGAAUCCCUGCUCAGGUCAGGCAGCAUCGUGUCAAGGUCAUGGCCCCUUGAAGAUUCUUUGAGGAAGUGGCUGUUGAGCUCCCAACCCCAGGGCUGGAGCAGGAGGAUCAGACACCCCGGCCUCAGCCCCAGAGCAUGAAAGCCCUCCCCACUCACCCAGCUGCUCUGCAGACCCACACUUGCACACAACUCCAUGUGCCACUGACCAGCUCUGACCUCGUCCUGGGCAAGGCUGGCGGGGCCUAGACCCAAACCCACAACAGUGUGUGGCUCCCAGGGAGGCAGCGUUUCCUGGGCACCAGCUCUUUAGAGAAUGCCUUCAGAAGUCCCCAUCCAGCCUCUCCCCUCAUGAAAUCCUGUCCUUGAAUCAUCCAGCCUAGCCCCCUGAGUAGCUGUGCAUUUCCGAGACCCCGAAUCCAUAAUAUUCAUAUGAAUGAGGUGGAGGGCAGGGAGAAUCGCUGCCAUUUAUUCAACCCUUAAUAAAUGCUGGGGGCUGCACAAAGCACUUUAAAUAAAUACAGCCUCUCAUUUUAAUCCUAAACAGGCCUGUGAGGGAGGUGCCAUGAUUACCCUUGUUUUAUAGAUGAUGAAAGCUAGGGCUCAGAAGAUGAAGUCCUUUACCAAAGGUCACACAGCUAGAAAGCAGAGAGGCCAGGAGUAGCACCCACUUGCUACAAGAGACUGGCCCCUCCAGACACAGUCCUUCCCGACAGCCUCUUUGAGGUUUCCCUGGACCUAGCCCAUCGGGACACUGUCCUCACAGCAAAGUAGCAGCCCCAGGCUGGGCACACGGCAGGAACCCUGUGCUGUGGCCCCCCGACCCAGUCCUGUGAACCCUUCCUUACUCCUCUGGCUCUGCUGGGACCAUGCUCUCCACCCCAGAGCUGGGAUAGCUGGGCCCUCUCCUCGCCCUCUCAUCCCAGCGUCCAGCCUCUGUGGGUAGACACGAAUGACUUAUUAGGGCUCUGAAAAGGGGCUGUGGAUGUGUCUGCCAUGGUCAGUCCCUGGGGCGAGAGCCAGCGUCCAAGGCCAUGCUUGCCUGCCCUGGUCACCAGAAAGGGCUGGGAGAGGAGGAAGAACUGGGAGCAGGUUAGGACUUCAGAGCUCCCCUAGCUACUCACCAACCUCAGGGACAGGCAGGGGCCAGCCCCUGGAGAAGCCCCCCGUACCUGCUCCCCACCCCACCAUACACACGCAGUCUCCCUACAGUGUCCCCCUCCCUUCCUGGCCCCUGAGUCUCCGAGGCAGCAGGAGGAGCAGCAGAAGAUCCCAGGACGUGAAGUUCAAAGACAGACAGUCACCCCAGCCACCUGUCUCCCAUCACCAUCGCCAUCACCAGGGCCUCUGAGCCCCACACCCCUCCUCACUGCCCAUGUGUCCCCAUUUCUCAGGGUCCCUAUGUUCUGAUGGUGUCACAAGCCCUAGGAGUUAAAAAGUGACAGUUCCCUUCACCUUCUUCUCCUCUCUACAAUCCCCUGCCCCUCCUAGCAGGUGAGCCCCGCUAGCAGGUUGGUGUCUAUUCUACAGACCCUUUUAUGUGCAUUAAAAAAACUCCACAUGGAUAUCACAGAGAUCGACAUAUGUAGGAUUUACUUUACAGAAAUAGCGCCAAGCCAUAUACAUUUUUCUCUGAUGUGCCUUUUUUUAGUAGUGUGGAAAUCUUUCCAUAUUUAUGUAUACACAUCUACCAUAAUUCUUAGCUAUUGCAGAUUUUAUACUGAAAAGAAAACAGAAAGGCUAAGGCUAAAUACCCAUACUCCCAUAGCUUUUUUGUCAAGUACAUGAACGAAGAAGUAAAAGCCUCCAAACAUAGCAUAUGAAUCUUUCGUAUCCUUUUCCCAAGAUUACGGAGGCGGAGCUGUGUGGAUGUGCACUGGUUCAAACAUAGUCAUGCAUUUUCUUACAGAGUGGCAUCAUGCCAGUCGUGCUGCUUUAUUAUUAAUUUUUCUGCUUAGCAGUCUGUCUUGGAGAUUUUUCCAGAUUGGUGCAUUUUCAUGUCACUAGAUUCUGUUUAUCCACUAUGAUUCCAUUGUCCGGAUGAACCACUGUUCCCCUCUUAAUGGACAUUUCAGUUAGUUCCAGGCCUUUGCUGAAAUGAACACCCUUCCUUAUAUAUCUCUGCACUCCUCAUCCCAGGUCUGAAGUCUGAGGAACUGGGGACAAUUGUGUGGUGUCGUGAUGGUGAGCAUGUAAACCACAUGUCUGCCCUGUGAAAGGAAGAUAAAUCUGGGGACCCCAAAAUCACCCUCCACCCCACGCACACUCACAACACAGCCUCCUCCAGGCAGCAGAACUGUUAAGCCUGUCAGAGACUCAGGCAGCUGCCAGGCACUAAAAAUAAACAGAUGAGCUCCUUUGUCUGCAUUUAGCAAGCAGGUUGCAGAAUUACAUCUGCCCAGGGUGACCCCACACCCUGGUUUGGGGGUAAGAAGAGAAGCAGCUUCCAGGCCAUCUUCCCAGCACCCCCUUGCCUUGGCUGUGCCAUCCACCCCACCCUCCACUGCUUUCCUCCUUCCUCCAGCAGAGGGAUUACCUGGGGCAGGAAAGGGGGCAGAGGACCCCUAUAUGGCCCUGGCAGGCCUCAGAGGCCCAUCUGGGAGAAGAGGACUUUGCAGGUUCAUUUCCACAAAAUGGGGAGCUCCCAGCACGACCUCUGGGAUCUGGGCAGCUGCUCAGCUGCUUUUCUGUUCAAUUGCAUCAAACUAAUGUGAACCUGAAAUGCUCUAAAAUUGAAGCAGGAAAAAUUGGAUCUGCUAUUGAUCCUCAUCACUUGGGUGACUCCUGUGACCCAUAUUAGCCACAACCCAGCCAAAAGCAACUGCCCUGAAAACAAAGAGUGUGUGUGGUUAUUUGAUUCUGUUCAGUUGUAGAUGGGAGGAGCCUGGGGUCCCCCAACUCAGCUGCCCUUGUCCCAGAUGAUGCAAAAAAAAAAAAAAAAAGUGAAGAUAAAGACAGAGGAAAGGGUGGGAACCAGGAUGGGGACAAGCAACCCUUCCAUUGCCUGUAGAAAGGUUUUCAGGAAAAAGAUUUGCUGGCAUAGAAAAGGCUGUUGGAGCAGGGCAGCUCUAGGGGCUCCUGGGACCUCCCUUCCCACAGGUGUCAGGGAAGCAACCUCAGGCCACUUCUGCUGCGCCAUGUCUGCAGUCCCACACCCAGCCUACUGUGCGCAGCAUGUGGGGUGCUCUUUAAAGUACAUGAUGUCCUGUGUAAGUUAAAAACUCAUGUUCCAGAAACAGCAUCCUGGAAAGUCAGGACUGAGGCCUUGGAGAGUAAAUAGACCAGCAGCUCCCAAGUCUGGCACACAUGAGAGUCAUCAGCAGCUCUGACAGGUGCAGACUCCCAGGUCACCCCCGAGGGCGUCUGAUUCGGCAUGUGUGGGGUGGCGCCUGGGUAUAUGUAUUGUGAAAACAUGUCCAAGCUCAGGACCCUUAAUUUCCAAGCGAAUUGUGUUCUCUGGAGUCUUGGGAAUGGCAGAGGGACCCGGGGCUCCUGCAUGGUGAGGGGAGCUGAGCACGUGGGACCCCAGGCUCCUCACCUCUUGAACUGGAGCAUCCCACUCUCAUCCAUUCCAUAAACUGCAUCUUUGAUCGAUUGUAAGACACACCACAGUUUUAUGUACCACGCAGAAAGACACCGCCAGGUGCCAUGGAUUAUAAGAUGCAUAUCAGUCUCAUAGGCAGCAAAGGUGAAAUGUGUGUUCUAGAAUCCACAAAAUAGUGUAUGCGGUCCCUUCCUUCAGUGAUGUCCCACAGCUCUUAGAGUAAGCCUCACCUCCUCCACAUGACCCCAAGGCCCUGUGUGUCCAGCCCUUGCCUACCUCUCCAGCCACCUCCCCAAACCAUUCUCGCCUCCUCUGCGCUCCCGCCCUCUGGCUGCCUUCUUUCAGACCCCAGCAUCCUCCUCGUUUCCUCCCCAGACAGGAACUUUGCACAGGCCAUACAUUCUUCCCUUUCCUUCUUAACCUACUCUCUUUGAGAGCACAACUCAACUGCCGCUUCCUUGGGAAGGCCUUCCCUCAUCCUCUUUGCUAGAUCACACCACCACCACCAUUAUUCUGUCUUGUGGCCCCUCCGCAGCGCUGGUCCCAGCCACAAUCUCACCUUGCUGUGUGGGAUUAGGUGAUGAAUGCCAGACUUCCCUGAUUGACGGUAAGCCACAUGUAAGUAGAGACUGUCCUGGUUUAACCUGCCAUAGAAUCCCUUGUGCCUACCACUGUGCCUGGCACUCAGUAGGUACACAACAAUCUACACUGGGCUGGUACCCCUCCCCACCAACAUGGGGCUCCAGGUUUCAGUGACCUGAAAGGGCAAAGUUGUAAGGGUCAGUCUGGGAGAGAAGCCUUAUGGGCCCAUGCCAGUCCACAGCUGGGGCAUGAGGGUGGAGAGAUGGCAGCCAGUGCACACGCCUGCACAAUGGUUGCCCCAGCUCCUCCUCCCCAGCUUCCUCACUGGGUCUCAGGCCAGCCUGUUUGCUCAGCUGCCUUAUGGAGUUCAAUUCUGCUUUCCUGCCCCUCUGCACUCCACCUCCACCUGCCAUUCACUGAAGAAACCAAACCAGAGACAGCCAAAGGAGAGGGGAUAAGACCGCCCACCAGUCUGUCCACCAAGCCCGCAGGAGAAACAGGCGCCCAGGCCCCAGCCAAGGAGAGAUGGUCCUGCAAAAAUUCAUCAUCAAGAGUCUGGGGUUUGGAGUCGGGCUGUCUGGGUCUGAGCCACUCCCCAGCAUUGGGCAAAUUCCUUCGAUUUCUCUUAAGACUCAAUUUCUUCCUCUGUAAAAUGGGGAUUGCAAGAGCAGCUUUGCAGGGUGGCUUUGUGAAACACCUAAGGCGUUGAACUUGACUGAGGGCUUCUGCAAUAGCACCCGUGGCCUGGGAAGUGCUUAGCACAUGCUCUGAUGCAGCAUGAGUGCUAUUAUGAUCCCCCUGUGUGGGGAGCCGGAGUCUCGCCCCCAGGGCCUGCUGAGCUGUCAUCGACCUGGCUGCCCGCAUUGAUCUGGCCAGGACCCCCUCGGGAGUCCCAUCUGCAUGGACAGGCCACCCUCUGCCCCUGGGUGGCUGCCCUUUGCCAAGUUCACGGUCUGGAGCAGUCGGCCAGCUGGGCCUCCCACUAAUGAGUGCCUCGUCCUGCCCAGACCAGCUCUCCUUACUCUCCAUCGAUCCUUGACCUUCCUGGGGAAGCUCCCUCCUCCACUUCUGCCUCUACAUGGUUGCUACUGCUGCUCACCCCAGACUCUCGUCGGCUCUGGCAGGACCUCGCUCUGUCCAGGCACCCCUGAGCCUGGGAGCCCCAACCACUCAUCCCCCCGACAUGUGUGCUCAAGGCCAGGGCUGUGGUCUGGGUUCAGAUCUCGACUUGGCGCCUGGUUAAACCAAUGCUAGGACCAAGAGAUUCGAUAGCAAGUUAUGAACUGAACAUUUGUGACCCCCAAAUUCACAUGCCAUCACCCCCACUAUGGCUAUAUUUGGAGAUGGGGCCCCUAAGGGAGUAAUUAAGGUUAAAUGAGGUCCUGAGGGUGGGGCCCUGUGGACCCAAGGCGGGUACUAUUGUCCUCAUAAGAAGAGACACCAGAGAACUCAUUCCCUCUCUCCACGCACACACAAAGCGAGAUGGCAACAGCCCACGGCCAAGAGAAGGGUGAAACCUCUCUGGUAAUAAAGCUUACCUUGCUGGCACCUUGAUCUUGGACCUUCCAACCUCCAGAACUGUGAG